This 83-nucleotide transfer RNA is filed under the name Bacteroides fragilis. Its description in RNAcentral is "tRNA-Leu". It matches the Rfam family "tRNA". From Rfam's summary of the family: Transfer RNA (tRNA) molecules are approximately 80 nucleotides in length. The record is from RNAcentral. Lineage: Bacteria; Pseudomonadati; Bacteroidota; Bacteroidia; Bacteroidales; Bacteroidaceae.
GGAGAGGUGGCGGAAUUGGUAGACGCGUACUUUGAGGGGGUAGUGACAUUACUGUCGUGGGAGUUCGAGUCUCCUUCUCUUCA